CGCUGGCGGCAGGCCUAACACAUGCAAGUCGAGCGGAAACGAGUUAUCUGAACCUUCGGGGAACGAUAACGGCGUCGAGCGGCGGACGGGUGAGUAAUGCCUAGGAAAUUGCCCUGAUGUGGGGGAUAACCAUUGGAAACGAUGGCUAAUACCGCAUGAUGCCUACGGGCCAAAGAGGGGGACCUUCGGGCCUCUCGCGUCAGGAUAUGCCUAGGUGGGAUUAGCUAGUUGGUGAGGUAAGGGCUCACCAAGGCGACGAUCCCUAGCUGGUCUGAGAGGAUGAUCAGCCACACUGGAACUGAGACACGGUCCAGACUCCUACGGGAGGCAGCAGUGGGGAAUAUUGCACAAUGGGCGCAAGCCUGAUGCAGCCAUGCCGCGUGUGUGAAGAAGGCCUUCGGGUUGUAAAGCACUUUCAGUCGUGAGGAAGGUAGUGUAGUUAAUAGCUGCAUUAUUUGACGUUAGCGACAGAAGAAGCACCGGCUAACUCCGUGCCAGCAGCCGCGGUAAUACGGAGGGUGCGAGCGUUAAUCGGAAUUACUGGGCGUAAAGCGCAUGCAGGUGGUUUGUUAAGUCAGAUGUGAAAGCCCGGGGCUCAACCUCGGAAUAGCAUUUGAAACUGGCAGACUAGAGUACUGUAGAGGGGGGUAGAAUUUCAGGUGUAGCGGUGAAAUGCGUAGAGAUCUGAAGGAAUACCGGUGGCGAAGGCGGCCCCCUGGACAGAUACUGACACUCAGAUGCGAAAGCGUGGGGAGCAAACAGGAUUAGAUACCCUGGUAGUCCACGCCGUAAACGAUGUCUACUUGGAGGUUGUGGCCUUGAGCCGUGGCUUUCGGAGCUAACGCGUUAAGUAGACCGCCUGGGGAGUACGGUCGCAAGAUUAAAACUCAAAUGAAUUGACGGGGGCCCGCACAAGCGGUGGAGCAUGUGGUUUAAUUCGAUGCAACGCGAAGAACCUUACCUACUCUUGACAUCCAGAGAACUUUCCAGAGAUGGAUUGGUGCCUUCGGGAACUCUGAGACAGGUGCUGCAUGGCUGUCGUCAGCUCGUGUUGUGAAAUGU
RNAcentral lists this ribosomal RNA (1062 nucleotides) under Vibrio alginolyticus. RNAcentral describes it as "bacterial SSU rRNA". It matches the Rfam family "Bacterial small subunit ribosomal RNA", at positions 34 to 1075 of the family's 1533-position model. The record is from RNAcentral. Lineage: Bacteria; Pseudomonadati; Pseudomonadota; Gammaproteobacteria; Vibrionales; Vibrionaceae.